This 560-nucleotide small RNA is filed under the name Pongo abelii (Sumatran orangutan). Its description in RNAcentral is "retained intron". Lineage: Eukaryota; Metazoa; Chordata; Mammalia; Primates; Hominidae. The record is from RNAcentral.
UAUAAAUUAUAUUAGCAAUAUAAGGUAUAUAAAGUAACAGCAGAUGAGCCACUUUCUCCCUCUGAGAUUGGGCACUAUUUCCCAAGCAGGGGACUCACUUCCUUUCCUUCCUGCAGGAGUGAUGCUCUCCACUCUGUGAAUGUGGCUUUGGGUAUGGCUAAUCCACACCCUGCACUCUGGCCUUCAGAAGCCCAGGGAGAGAAGCCUCCCAGAAGCAACCUUCCAGAACCUUCUCCAUACUCCCACCGACCUCCCCAGCCCCUGUCUUCUCUUUGAAUCUCGUUGUCAAGUUCUUUCCUGGCUCCUUGAGGGGAGGUGCAGCUUUCAUCUGACCAUGCAGGCGUGCUUUGCAGUGGGUAGAGCAGUGCUUUCCUCCUCCCAGCUGCACACUGGAAUCACCUGGAGAGUCCAGAAACUUCCCGCCUCAGUGAAAGAACAUCAGUGUAUCAGCACAGCAAAGAUUCCAAAUGCCAGGCUGGAUUGCCUCCAAUUACCAGGACCUCCAGGCUUCUCCUCCUUUCAAGAACUUUCUGAUCCUGGAUCCAGUCUAAAUGUUGGUU